AGGCAGCAGUGGGGAAUAUUGCACAAUGGGCGCAAGCCUGAUGCAGCCAUGCCGCGUGUAUGAAGAAGGCCUUCGGGUUGUAAAGUACUUUCAGCAGUGAGGAAGGCGGAGUCGUUAAUAGCGGCCUCGUUUGACGUUAGCUGCAGAAGAAGCACCGGCUAACUCCGUGCCAGCAGCCGCGGUAAUACGGAGGGUGCGAGCGUUAAUCGGAAUUACUGGGCGUAAAGCGCAUGCAGGUGGUUUGUUAAGUCAGAUGUGAAAGCCCGGGGCUCAACCUCGGAAUUGCAUUUGAAACUGGCAGACUAGAGUACUGUAGAGGGGGUAGAAUUUCAGGUGUAGCGGUGAAAAUGCGUAGAGAUCUGAAGGAAUACCGGUGGCGAAGGCGGCCCCCUGGACAGAUACUGACACUCAGAUGCGAAAGCGUGGGGAGCAAACAGGAUUAGAUACCCUGGUAG
RNAcentral lists this ribosomal RNA (455 nucleotides) under uncultured bacterium. RNAcentral's name for it is "bacterial SSU rRNA". It matches the Rfam family "Bacterial small subunit ribosomal RNA", at positions 346 to 793 of the family's 1533-position model. The record is from RNAcentral.